GACGCCAUGACAGAGAGGUCAGAGGGUCAGGACGCUGCCUCUCGCCGCAGGCAGCGGUCUGAGCGUGGCAGGACCGCCGCGGGGACGCUGGCGAGAACCCGGCGUCCGGAGGGUGCGAGGUAGUCAUCGUUACAAAGCCGGGUUCAGUGCUGGCGAGCCCCAUUUUAAGCAGCCGAGAGGGCGAGAGUGCUCGGUGGUAAUGUCCUGGAAUAGCGUUGUGAAUCUCGUAGCAGAGCACGGUUAGAUAGAUUUACUCUGCGAGUAAAAUGCGGAGUUGUGGUUUACAGUCUGAUACGUGGUGGUAUCCGCCUUAAUCCCAGCACUGGCUGAGAUGGAAGGACAGAGGACCCCUUCGCUGCAGUUAGGUCCAGUCUCCAUCUGGGGAUGGGGAUUCAUAAUCAAACUCAUCCAGACAGGCAUCCACUAUGUGAAGUCCACGCUGUAAAACCCAAGGCUAGGGAAAAAUCAACCUCAGAGUCUUCCCCAUUUCGCAGUUUGGUACUUUGUCUACUCCGUAGCAAUGAAGAGUCAGAGAGAGAAGGAAAACAUGACAGCCCAUUUUGUUUGUUCUUUCGAAAAGUGUUUAUUCAGUCCCUAGUUCCCCGUACCUGGACCGUAGAAAGCAAAAGUUCCGCACGGGAAGUCAGCGAUGUUUCUACCCACAAAAGCCUGCAACUUCUGUGAGCUCCAAGGGAACAAGAGAAGUGAAUUCCAACAGGUGUAUGUGACUGUCUUCAUGGAUGGAUGCACACCAUAUGUGGACACUGUCUUUGGAGGUCAAAAAAAGUCCCUUAGAAUGGAGAUACAGACAGGUGGAACCAAACCCAGGCCCUUUGCAAGAGCAGCAAGUGCUCUAACCACUGAGGCAUCUUUCCAGCCCCUUUAUUUUUCAGGUUUGUUUUUGAUUUGUGUGUUUAUUUGUUUGUUUUGAGUCAGGGUCUCUCUACAUAGCCUUGGCUGUCUGGAACUCACCAAGAUCCACUGGCCUCUGCCUCCUGAGUGCUGGUGUUAACAGGCGUGUGCCAUCGCACCUGGCUCUAGGUUCCUUUGCUUUAAAACUUCCCAACUGAUCUCCACAGCAACUGCACUAAUUUAUGUUCCAACAGGAUAAGGGUCUCUAACCUAUCCACCCAUCCUACAACAGCAUUUGUUUUUAGUGUGUGCUUGUUCUCACAAUCAUGCUGAUGCAUAUAUGCCACAGUACAUCUGUAAAGGUCAGAAAACAAAUGUACUGUGGAGUACAUUUGGAGGAGUCGGUUCUUCUUUCCAGAGAUGGUAGUCAGAGGUACUGACAAGUUCCUUUACCAUCUCACCCCAUUUGUUGUUUCCUUAAUAAUACUUAUUUUACUAGAGAGAGAUGGAGUCUCAAGCUUUGAUUUUUAUCUCCCUGACAAGUAAAGACAUUUGAACAAUUUUUCAUAUAUUUAUUGGCCAUUUGUACUUCUUUUGAAAAAAAAUUUUUUUUUUUAUUUUUUAAGACAGGGUUUCUCUGUGUAGCCUUGGCUGUCCUGGACUUGCUUCAUAAAACAGGCUGGCCUCAAACUCACAGAGUGCUGGGAUUACUGGCAUGCACCACUGCACCCAGCCAUUUUUCUUGUUUAUUGAUUGGGUGAGUUUUCUUCGUUUGGGGGGUGGGCAAUUUUGUUUUGGGUUAGGUUUAGUUCUUUAUAGAUUCUAGCUAUUAUCUAUGAAAUAUAUAUAUCCUGAAAUGAUUUUUUUCGAUUCUACAGGUUGUCCCUUCCCUUAUAAUUGUUUCCUCUGUUGUUUUAAUUUCAUUUGUCAAUUUGUGCUAUUUUCUGGGUUAUUGGAAUCCUUUCAGAAAGCCCUAUAUCUCUAUAUCUCAAAAUCUUUUCAGAGUCUCAGGUCUUACAUUUAGGUCUUUGAAAAUAUAAAAAUAAAAUAAAGAGCCAGGCAUAAUGGUUCAUGUCUUUACUUCCAGCAUUCAGAAGGUAAAGAAGGUGUAUCUCUGUGAGUCAGCCAGGACUACUUAGUGAGACCCUGUCUCAGAAAAAAAUAAUGAUAAUAAUGAUUGUUAAAUCAAGGUCUUCAAUCUGUUUUGAAUAAACUUUAGUACAGACUGAGAAGCUUAUCUAGUUCUAGUCUUCUGCCUGUGGAUAACAGUUUUCCCAGCAGCACUGUUGAAGAGCCUGCCUUUUCUCUAAUGCAUAUUUUUGAUACCUUUGUCAAAAAUCAGGUAGCUACAUUCGGUGGUUUUAUUUUUAGGUCCUCUAUUUUAUUCCACUGGUCUGCAUGUCUAUUUUAUUUCAUGUGUAUGGGUGUUUUGUUUACAUGUUUGUUCUAUGUACCCCCUUUAUUUCACUGAAGCACAUUGGCAUAAAUUCUGAUGAGGAUGUGUAGGUGAAUCUUAAAAAUACUUAACCAUGUGAAAAUGUCUUUAUUUGUUUGUUUUAUGGUUUGAAACCAGGGCUUCACACAUAAUAGUAAGUACUCUACCUUAGAACUAUAUCCCAGAUCCUAGUUUAAAACACUCAGAAAUAAUAACCACCUUAGCUGGGUAUAAAAGUGUAUGUUUUAGGACUGGAAAGAUGGUUUAGUUGUUAAGAGCACUGCCCUUCUUCCAGAGAACCCAUGUUUAAGUCCCGGUACCCACAUAUAGGUUCACAACAGUCUGUAACUCCAGUUCCAAGGAAUCAAUCCAACACCCUUUUCUGGCCUCUUUGGGCACCAGGCACACAUAUAGUACACAUACACACACACACACACAUACAUACAUACAUACUUCAUACAGGCAAAACACUCAUACCCAUAUUUAUUUAUUGGUUGGUUGGUUGGUUGGUUGGUUGGUUGGUUGGUUUUUCAAAAUAGAGCUUCUCUGUGUCACCUUGGCUGUCCUGGAACUUGCUCUGUAGGCCAGACUGGCCUCAGCCUCAGAGAUCCACUUGUGUCUGCCUCCCAAGUCCUAGAAUUAGAGGUAUGCUAUCUCUGCCUGAAAUAAAUAAUUUUUAUGUCAGAAUGAGAAAAAUCAAUAAAAUCAGUAAAAAUAAUGGUAGGCUGAAAGAAUAGAUCCUUUUCUCUGAGAAUUUUUUGAACUCAUCAGAAAUGCUGCCUACUGCAAUCUGUCUCAUCUCACUGAAAAUGUUUACCUACGGAAAUGGGGAAGAUGUCCUUGAAGAUCUACUACUUUUUCUAUGUGUUCAUUUCAGAAAACACUUCCCCUCAGCUGAGCAUGGUGGCACAUGCCUGUGACCCCAGCACUUGAAGGUGGAACACAGAAGUCCAAAGUUCUCCUCAGUAACAUGUAAAGUGAGUUGGAGGCCAGGAUGGACUAUCUGAAAGCCUAUCUCAAAAAAUUAAAAAAAAAAUCUGGCUGGAGAGAUGGCUCAGAGGUUAAGAAUGCUGGCUGUUCUUCCAAAGGUUCAGAGUUCAAUUCCCAGCAACCACAUGGUGGCCACAUGUGAGUCUAUAGUGAGAUCUGAUGCACAGGCAGAAUGAUCUGUAAAUAAUAAAUAAAUGAUAGUUGUUAAAAUUAAAAAAAGAAGAAGAAGAAACUUUAAAAAAA
This is a long non-coding RNA of Meriones unguiculatus (Mongolian gerbil), 3520 nucleotides long. RefSeq lists it as uncharacterized. The transcript has 2 exons. The record is from RefSeq and is a predicted model, not a curated record. Lineage: Eukaryota; Metazoa; Chordata; Mammalia; Rodentia; Muridae.